RNAcentral lists this unclassified non-coding RNA (309 nucleotides) under Hevea brasiliensis (rubber tree). The record is from RNAcentral. Lineage: Eukaryota; Viridiplantae; Streptophyta; Magnoliopsida; Malpighiales; Euphorbiaceae.
AACUGUAUCGGUAUGCUACAAAUUAACAUUUAUUUUCAUUUUUUGUCCUUUAAAUUGAACUUUAAAAAGGAAAUUCCCAUCAUUCACACAUUGAUUUAAAAGGCUAUAGUUUGUAUUGUCAUUGGCAUGGAAUUUAAUUUUAGUUUUAAUCUAUGCAAUGUAAAAAUAGUGGCUUUUGGAUUUCACCAUUUAGGCAAAUUCUGUUUAUAAUCAUCCUGUCAGCAGUAUAUUACUCAUUUGGUUUAAUGUCUUGGUCCAAUAAUGGCAUGAGAUAUUUAAAUGAAAUGUUAAGAGAGAGAGAGAGAGAGA